ACAUUGGUGGUUCAGUGGUAGAAUGCUUACCUUCCAUGUGGGAGACCAGGGUUUGAUCCCAUCCAAGGCA
Molecule: transfer RNA, 70 nt
Filed under: Loxodonta africana (African savanna elephant)
Lineage: Eukaryota; Metazoa; Chordata; Mammalia; Proboscidea; Elephantidae
Rfam family: tRNA
About the family: Transfer RNA (tRNA) molecules are approximately 80 nucleotides in length. Their secondary structure includes four short double-helical elements and three loops (D, anti-codon, and T loops).
Source: Rfam by way of RNAcentral